UCGCAUCACAUUGAAACACCGGUACAAUCACCGAAGUUAAGCAACGUCGAGCUUGGUCAGUACCUAGAUGAGUGACCGCUUAGGAAUACCUGGUGCUGUAAG
Non-coding RNA from Acanthosepion pharaonis, 102 nucleotides. The record is from the annotation of a GenBank genome assembly. NCBI's taxonomy places the organism in Eukaryota, Metazoa, Mollusca, Cephalopoda, Sepiida, Sepiidae.